AGGGUUCGAUUAUGGCUCAGGAUGAACGCUAGCGGCAGGCUUAACACAUGCAAGUCGAGGGGCAGCGUGGAGUAGCAAUACUCUGACGGCGACCGGCGGAAGGGUGCGUAACACGUGAGCGACUUGCCCGAUACAGGGAGAUAACCGGUGGAAACGCCGACUAAUAUCCCAUACGACUUGAGGCUGCAUGGCCUUGAGUUGAAAGGUUCGCCGGUAUCGGAUAGGCUCGCGGGACAUUAGCUUGAUGGCGGGGCAACGGCCCACCAUGGCGACGAUGUCUAGGGGUUCUGAGAGGAAGACCCCCCACACUGGGACUGAGACACGGCCCAG
RNAcentral lists this ribosomal RNA (330 nucleotides) under uncultured bacterium. Its description in RNAcentral is "bacterial SSU rRNA". It matches the Rfam family "Bacterial small subunit ribosomal RNA", at positions 8 to 334 of the family's 1533-position model. The record is from RNAcentral.